RNAcentral lists this ribosomal RNA (389 nucleotides) under Polykrikos sp. RNAcentral describes it as "partial small subunit ribosomal RNA". It matches the Rfam family "Eukaryotic small subunit ribosomal RNA", at positions 582 to 975 of the family's 1831-position model. Lineage: Eukaryota; Dinophyceae; Gymnodiniales; Gymnodiniaceae. The record is from RNAcentral.
AUUCCAGCUCCAAUAGCGAGUAUUAAAGUUGCUGCGGUUGAAAAGCUCGUAGUUGGAUUUCUGCUAGGGACGAUCGGUCCACCCAGUGGGUGUGUAUCUGUGUCGGCCUUGGCAUAUUAUUGGCGAACGCAACUGCACUUGACUGUGUGGUGCGGGAUCCAGGGCUUUUACUUUGAGGAAUUUAGAGUGUUUCAAGCAGGCGCACGCCUUGAAUACAUUAGCAUGGAAUAUUAAGACAGGACCUGAGUUAUAUGUUGUUGGUUUCUAGAGCUGAGGUAAUGAUUACUAGGGAUAGUUGGGGGCAUUCGUAUUUAACAGUCAGAGGUGAAAUUCUUGGAUUUGUUAAAGACGGACUACUGCGAAAGCAUUUGCCAAGGAUGUUUUCAUUA